AAUUAUGUUGCUCCACCGCUAAAAGUAAUAGGGUUAACAGUAGUAUUUUGUGUUGGCCCAUCUCGAAGGGGUACUUAUCUUGUCGCCUUUCUAAACGGACUGGAACUUCUGAAAGUCGAAUAAUUCUCAGGGAAGCCUAACAGGUAUCUUCUGUUCCUACUAAUCCUAGCUCAAGCGCCCAAAAAAGGUCGGAGUUAUUGUG
Molecule: long non-coding RNA, 202 nt
Filed under: Nicotiana benthamiana
Lineage: Eukaryota; Viridiplantae; Streptophyta; Magnoliopsida; Solanales; Solanaceae
Description: long non-coding RNA (NBEN_LNC000071)
Source: RNAcentral